RNAcentral lists this ribosomal RNA (465 nucleotides) under uncultured bacterium. RNAcentral's name for it is "partial 16S ribosomal RNA". It matches the Rfam family "Bacterial small subunit ribosomal RNA", at positions 28 to 506 of the family's 1533-position model. The record is from RNAcentral.
GAUGAACGCUGGCGGCGUGCUUAACACAUGCAAGUCGAACGGAAAGGCUCCUGCUUGCAGGGGUACUCGGGUGGCGAACGGGUGAGUAACACGUGGGUGAUCUGCCCAGCACUUCGGGAUAAGCCUGGGAAACUGGGUCUAAUACCGGAUAGGACGAUGGUUUGGAUGCCAUUGUGGAAAGUUUUUUCGGUGUGGGAUGAGCUCGCGGCCUAUCAGCUUGUUGGUGGGGUAAUGGCCUACCAAGGCGUCGACGGGUAGCCGGCCUGAGAGGGUGUACGGCCACAUUGGGACUGAGAUACGGCCCAGACGCCUACGGGAGGCAGGAGUGGAGAAUAUUGCACAAUGGGCGCAAGCCUGAUGCAGCGACGCCGCGUGGGGGAUGACGGCCUUCGGGUUGUAAACUCCUUUCGCUAGGGACGAAGCGCAAGUGACGGUACCUGGAGAAGGAGCACCGGCUAACUACGU